GUGCUACAAUGGUCGGUACAGAAAGCAGCCACUAUGCGAAUAGGAGCUAAUCUUUAAACCGAUCUCAGUUCGGAUCGCAGUCUGCAACUCGACUGCGUGAAGCUGGAAUCGCUAGUAAUCGGAUACCAGCCAUGAUCCGGUGAAUACGUUCCCGGGCCUUGUACACACCGCCCGUCAAGCCAUGGAAGCUGGGGGUACCUAAAGUCGGUGACCGAAAGGAGCUGCCUAGGGUAAAACUAGUGACUGGGGCUAAGUCGUAACAAGGUAGCCGUACCGGAAGGUGCGGCUGGAAUACCUCCUUUCUAGAGAAAGACGACUUUGACUAUAGCAUCAAUCCUUUGCGUUUGCUAGCUGUCAUUUUUUUUAAUAACCCUUAUAGUAUCUCUAAUAGAGUCUCGUAGCUCAGCCGGUUAGAGCGCUACACUGAUAAUGUAGAGGUCGGCAGUUCGAGUCUGCCCGAGACUACUAAAUUCCAUAAAGGAAAAGGGGGAUUAGCUCAGCUGGCUAGAGCGCUAGAUUUGCAUUCUAGAGGUCGUGGGUUCGACUCCCACAUUCUCCACUAUUCUUAAUGUAAAUUAAGAUUAAGAGUUCAUUGACAUAUUGAAAAUAUCAAGUACAAUUCAUAAACUAUUCUGUUAUCCAAUUUGAUAGUUUUUUGAGAUUGUACAGAGUUAACGUAAAUAUGUAUUUAAUACUGUUAUUAUUAAAUACAAAAUAAUUUUACAAUUUAAGAAAGAGUUAAGAGUUACUUGUAACUUUUGAAAAGUUACAAUAGGCUAAUUAAGAGCGUAAGGGGAAUGCCUUGGCUCUCAGAGGCGAUGAAGGACGUGAUAAGCUGCGAUAAGCUGUGGGA
Molecule: unclassified non-coding RNA, 853 nt
Filed under: uncultured bacterium
Lineage: Bacteria
Description: partial contains 16S ribosomal RNA, 16S-23S ribosomal RNA intergenic spacer, and 23S ribosomal RNA
Rfam family: Bacterial small subunit ribosomal RNA (bases 1-302)
Source: RNAcentral